Aedes albopictus (Asian tiger mosquito) is the source of this 579-nucleotide long non-coding RNA. RefSeq lists it as uncharacterized. The transcript is spliced from 2 exons. The record is from RefSeq and is a predicted model, not a curated record. Lineage: Eukaryota; Metazoa; Arthropoda; Insecta; Diptera; Culicidae.
ACUCUGAAAAAUCCACAUGUCAAGGCUACGUGGAAAAUCACGUAGCGUCAGAAAAGUGUUCAUUUGCCUGAAUUUACCUGACGAAGGUGACUAUUAUCUAGCCAGAGAUAAAUAUGAUAUGAUGUUCCACUUGCCUUUAUGCAGCUUCUCAGUAUCUCUCACUUGGAAAUCACGUAGCCACCUGAGUUCAUUGUGACAACUUCAUUUCGUGUUCAUUGUUGUGAUGCCGCCAUCAUUUUGUGUGCAUGUCAUCGCCAAGAUGGCGCAAUUUGAAAACAAACCUCGACUCCUGUUUUUUUUUCGAUAUCACCCGACAUUUUUGUCAGAGGAAUUGUUAUUGUUUAGGCACCGCUGAACGGGUGCCGUCGAUGAAAACUGCAAGCUGCUAACAGAAAUGAUCCGGAGAAGAAUAGCAGCAUUCUGUUUCGGCAGCACACUAAAUGCACCAACAUCGCCUAAAAAAGCAUACGCAGCAAUAGCAAUUAUUUUCAAAGUGCGAACUGUUAAAUACUUGCGACGACCAUAAUGUGCCAAGACGUAGUGCCAGAUUUAGCGUAAAUAAACAGAAAUUUGACCGAA